Molecule: ribosomal RNA, 252 nt
Filed under: uncultured Bacteroidales bacterium
Lineage: Bacteria; Pseudomonadati; Bacteroidota; Bacteroidia; Bacteroidales
Description: partial 16S ribosomal RNA
Rfam family: Bacterial small subunit ribosomal RNA
Source: RNAcentral
UACGGAGGAUGCGAGCGUUAUCCGGAUUUAUUGGGUUUAAAGGGUGCGUAGGCGGAAUAUCAAGUCAGCGGUAAAAAUUCGGGGCUCAACCCCGGCCUGCCGUCGGAACUGGGUGCCUUGAGUGGGCGAGAAGUAUGCGGAAUGCGUGGUGUAGCGGUGAAAUGCAUAGAUAUCACGCAGAACCCCGAUUGCGAAGGCAGCAUACCGGCGCCCUACUGACGCUGAGGCACGAAAGUGCGGGUAUCGAACAGG